UGGGGAAUCUUGCGCAAUGGCCUAACGGCUGACGCAGCGACGCCGCGUGAGGGAUGAAGCUCCUCGGAGUGUAAACCUCUGUUGCUCGGGACGAAUGGCGCCUUUUGGCGACGUGACGGUACCGAGUGAGGAAGCACCGGCUAACUCCGUGCCAGCAGCCGCGGUAAUACGGGGGGUGCGAGCGUUGUCCGGAAUCACUGGGCGUAAAGGGCGCGUAGGUGGCCUGGUAAGUCUGUGGUGAAAGCCCGGAGCUCAACUCCGGGUCUGCCGCGGAUACUGCGAGGCUCGAGUGCUGUAGAGGGGGAUAGAAUGCCGGGUGUAGCGGUGGAAUGCGUAGAAAUCCGGCAGAAGACCGGUGGCGAAGGCGGCCCCCUGGGCAGUAACUGACACUGAGGCGCGACAGCGUGGGGAGCAAACAGGAUUAGAUACCC
Molecule: ribosomal RNA, 431 nt
Filed under: uncultured bacterium
Lineage: Bacteria
Description: bacterial SSU rRNA
Rfam family: Bacterial small subunit ribosomal RNA
Source: RNAcentral